Molecule: long non-coding RNA, 1419 nt
Filed under: Vombatus ursinus (common wombat)
Lineage: Eukaryota; Metazoa; Chordata; Mammalia; Diprotodontia; Vombatidae
Description: lncRNA (ENSVURG00010005655.1)
Source: RNAcentral
GUUUCCUUUAUUUUUAAUAUAGCUGCAUUUAACAUGUAGGCGCUUUGCAUCAUCACUUCAUAAAGGUUUUCCCACAUUUCUCUGUAUUCACAAUUGUUUAUUUUGCCACAUUUUACAAAAUUAAUAUAAUAAUUUACUGAACUGUUUCCAAACACUUGGUACAUUUCCCUGUACAAAUGAACAUUUGUACAGAUUUUUUUUCUGUUAGCAAUUUCUUUAUACGUAGUUCCAACCAUGGGAUCACUGGUUCAAAGGGUAAGAACAGUUUUAUGACUUCAUGUUCAUUUCCAGAUGUUCCUCAAAAACAAUGUAACUAGAGUGCCCAUUUCCCAGCAGCAAACUCUACAUUUUAAAGUCAUUUAAAUAAAAAGGUGGUAUUGGUCUUGCCCAUAAAGUUUCACAGAAUGAUUGUUGCAUACGGGAAUUCUUGCACAGGGAAACCAUGACUUUGUCCUUCUCCCUUCGCCUAUGCAGGGUCCAUGAAGGGUCUUUUUGAGGUCGACUGGCCUCCUUUUUAGAUCAUUUAUAUCAUAAGUUGCAAUGCAUUCCCAAAUCCCAGAGCUGGAACUCGAGGGUUACAUAGUCCAAACCUUAUCUAAAAAGAAAAAAAAAAGCAUUUCCUUGUAUUACAAUAUCCCUUGACAACAGAUCACACCACCUCGGCUGGAACCUACCACCACAUCUUUUCUUUGUCUCUCCAGAGUUUAGCACAGUGUCUGACACAUUAAGUAGGCGCUUAAUAAGUGCUUGUUGAAUGCCGAUUUCCUGAGGCAGCCCACGAUAGGAUCUGACCAAAAGUGACUUGGGACUUAAACAUUGAACCUAAGCCCUUUGCCCUUGAGAACCUGAGGACUCUCUGAUUGGAUGAUUAGGAGAAACAGCAGCAAUAGCAAUUACAGACGUGACUCCGGCACCACGUGAGGGGUCACUCCAAGGGUCUUUCAGAAGCCUAAACGAAGUUGCACCCGCUCUGACGUCAGAAAUCCGCAGCCAAUAGGCUCGUGCUAGAGGCUAUGCUUGUGACGCGUGGUCUGAAGACUGUCAGUCCUGUCUGCUCUGGAGGGGACUCCACCAUUGCUGCCGUGCAGCGCCCCAGGGCCCUCUCACUGCCCACCUCUUUUUGCCCCGUCUAGCCCCAAAGGGGUCGGGAUUGGGACUGUUUCAUCGGUGCAUACUUUUACAUUCCACUGGUGGUGUUGUAUGGCUUCAAGACAUGGAACACAACAGUCUCCGAAGAACUGGAAGUGAAUAUCACACAAAGGGCAAUGGAGAGGUGCAUGGUGGGUGUGAACAGGCUGCAACAUAUAACAAAUGGGGAACUUUGAAGAAGACCAGAAAUAAAAGGUUUCAUCAUGAAAUGUAUGGUAGAAAAAGAUGGGCUGGUCAUGUGUUGAGAGGAAGGUAUGAAAGGUAGACAGC